UGGUAACCUAUUUUUUCCACGUGGGAUACUCAUCACCUCGCUCCAACUCUCUACAAAACUUACUCCAACGCUCUCACCCUGGCAUCUCCCCUCCCUCUCUCUGGUCUCUUAUCCAAUCAAACGAUCUUCCUUCCUUCUCCUUUCUGCCCUAACUUCGGAAGCGAAGACAGCACCGCUUCCAGAGAUCUGGAGAAAUGAAGCAUCAUUCGAAUUCUCCCGACAAAACUUUAGUGGACCAUCGCUGAAUUCGACAUAACUUUAGUGGACCAUCGCCGAGCGAUGGAAAGUGUUAUCCGCCGGACAACCUUCAACCUCCGUUUUAGAGAGAUCGUCAAAUUUUCCCAUUCGGAUGUGUUCAGGGCUCGCAAAUUUCACUCUCCCGCCAGAGCGUUGCCGGACGGCGCAGUUACUCGAUUAUACGUCUUUCACCGCUUAAAGACUUCCAAGGUCUUGUUUCGUCGUCGAAGACACUGAAAGGUUGUGGUCCUCAUUGGCAAUUUUUAGGGUCACAUGGCUCAUUGACUGAGAGACUAAUCAUUGGAUUACUUCUCUGGUACUAGUGUGGUUCUCAACUUAGCUGAGACACCUUCAAGCCUCUUUGAGUAUUAUAGAUGCGACUACCGUGCCUAUAUUUGGUAGGCACUACUCUGCUGGUGAUGUAGUAACUGAGAUAUUGGUGAAGAAGAUGCGAGGUGCUAGAGAGGCGUUUGCAGCGACUGAUUUGCAACACAAGUUAAAAAGACAGCAUACUGGCUGGAAGAAUGUGUUUGUUACACAUUGGCGGAUGCAACUUAGUCAUCUAAAAAACUAUGGUGCAGGUAUGUACUUUGAACUGAUCUGGUGGUUAUCUUGUAAGGAUAGUAUAAGCAUUCUUUGAUAGCCAAACACGAGUGUUCAGCAUCAUACUAUUAUUUAGCUACCAGGCUCAGUUUCGUCAAUUGUAAGACAUAAGAGGCUGAGGGCGUGCACUGUGUUUCACAUUCAUGUGUGCACGUACAAGAAUGCAUGCGUAUGAUUGACCAAAUGAUGAGAUCAGUGAGGGAAAAAGGAUGAGAUCAGAGAGGGAAAAAGGAAAAUUCAAUGAUAGAUGGAAAUCAAAUGAGGGGGAGAUGGGGCGGGUAGCUGGAUAGAUACAUUUUAAAGGAUUCAAAGAUAAUAAACACCUGUUAAAGGAUGUGGUUAAGGUGGUGUGCAUUCAGUCUCAUGCGACAGUGUGGUUAAGAUUACUACUACUCAUUAUUGUUUGGCGGCUUGCUUGUCUGAAAUGAGCAUGAGAUAAGCGUUGUGUAAUUUAAUUUUUUAGAUAAAUUUAUAAGCUGUUCAUACGAGAGUGUGUGCGCCUUUUGUUUAUAAUGCACUCAUUGGUUUAUUAGUGAAUGGUUCCAACAACCGCAGCACAUCGGGUAUGUUAGAAUGAAUGUAUGGUUUGGCAACAUCUUUCUGAGGUUUCCAGAACUCUUUUAUGCAAACAAAUUCACCAUUUUCUAGAUGUUGCCAGGAAUUCUUGCUAUAGCAAUAAUCACUUUUUAGGUAACUUUAUUUUGCGUUGCCUGUCACUAGACCUGUAUAUGAUGCCUGUUUACUUUGUGAUGGUGUUCAC
This is a long non-coding RNA of Tripterygium wilfordii, 1600 nucleotides long. RefSeq lists it as uncharacterized. The transcript has 5 exons. The record is from RefSeq and is a predicted model, not a curated record. NCBI's taxonomy places the organism in Eukaryota, Viridiplantae, Streptophyta, Magnoliopsida, Celastrales, Celastraceae.